CAAAAGUAAUUGUGCGUUUUGC
RNAcentral lists this microRNA (22 nucleotides) under Macaca fascicularis (crab-eating macaque). Its description in RNAcentral is "microRNA miR-548n-5p". Lineage: Eukaryota; Metazoa; Chordata; Mammalia; Primates; Cercopithecidae. The record is from RNAcentral.